Molecule: long non-coding RNA, 1137 nt
Organism: Anolis carolinensis (green anole)
Lineage: Eukaryota; Metazoa; Chordata; Lepidosauria; Squamata; Anolidae
Exons: 2
Source: RefSeq, a predicted model, not a curated record
UAGGCCCAAAACCUGCACCCGUAGGCCCAGGAGCUUUGGGCGUCCGGGUGCAGGCUUUGGGCCUAGGUGCCUGGGCCUCGCAGGCUUACCAUCGAGUGCCGAAUAAGGAGCAAUCCUUACUCCGCACUUGACUGUAAUUCCUGCGAGGCCCAGCUAGGCCCGGCCCAAAUCCUGGCACUUGACUGUAAGUCCUGCGAGGCCCGGCCCAAAACCAGGCUUUGGGCCUAUGCGCUUUGGGCCUAUGCGCUUUGGGCCUAUGCGCAUAGGCCUGGCCGGGGGGGGGGGAGGAGGUUGGGGGUGGCUGAGUCAUCCUGCGCCUCCCCCCCCUUUGCUCGGCUCCUUACCAGGCAUUUGAACAGUACUGGCUGCUGCUAUGGGCCUUGGCCGGCACUUUCCCCUCCUCCAAAAAACAAAACAAAACAAAAAACCCACAAAACAAAACAAAAACAAAAACUAAUGGAUGACCUCCCAAUUUUGGGAGUUCGGACGAAAGCAGAUGUGGGUCUCGACGAAAGCCGGGACACAAAACAAAACAAGAAACAAGGCUACAAAUCCAAGAAAGGAGACCACAUUUUCCAACACUCAUCUUCUUCAGGAACCACAUCCUCAAGCAGCCUCCACACCUGUUGCUCCUUUUCUUCCAGGAUAGGCAUCUUCUUGGGAACCCGGAUCUUUGUCUUCAAGUAGUCUCCUGCUGCUUUGGGCCCUGUUUGAUGUCAGGAUCCUCUUGUGUGUAGUACAAUCAACAUCUCCCAGCAACGGCCAAGUAAAGGGAUUAUGGGGGGAAUAAUCCACCAGCAGCAGGAACAGCAGUAGUAGCUGAAGUGGGGAACAAAAGCACCCCUUCUCAUGCAAAUGGAUGCUGAACCAAUGAGGCAGGAACUCCAGGGAGGUCCCGAAUUUGACCUCCCAGCUGGGUCACUCUCAGAUACAACAGCCUAGGAAAGCUGCAGGCUGGGCAACUCCAGCCUAACACCUGGGAAACCCAUUACUGGAAGCAAGACAGCAGGUCAAUUCACGGAAAACAAAGUUUUGAGGGUAUCUUCCCUUUUAACCCCCUUCGCCUUUUUUUCCUCCAGAAAGUGUCAUAGAUAUUUCACUGAACAAAUCUCCCAAUUAAAAUUCUGAAGAAAACUA